RNAcentral lists this ribosomal RNA (161 nucleotides) under uncultured bacterium. RNAcentral describes it as "partial 16S ribosomal RNA". It matches the Rfam family "Bacterial small subunit ribosomal RNA", at positions 358 to 511 of the family's 1533-position model. The record is from RNAcentral.
GGAAUCUUCCACAAUGGACGCAAGUCUGAUGGAGCAACGCCGCGUGAGUGAAGAAGGGUUUCGGCUCGUAAAGCUCUGUUGUUAAAGAAGAACGUGGGUAAGAGUAACUGUUUACCCAGUGACGGUAUUUAACCAGAAAGCCACGGCUAACUACGUGCCAA